Molecule: non-coding RNA, 72 nt
Organism: Kwoniella shivajii
Lineage: Eukaryota; Fungi; Basidiomycota; Tremellomycetes; Tremellales; Cryptococcaceae
Source: the annotation of a RefSeq genome assembly
UGCGAGAUAGUGUAAUGGUAACACGGUGGUUUCAUGGUCCGCUAUCGGAAAGUUCGAUUCUUCCUCUCGCGU